Long non-coding RNA from Leopardus geoffroyi (Geoffroy's cat), 1385 nucleotides. RefSeq lists it as uncharacterized. NCBI's taxonomy places the organism in Eukaryota, Metazoa, Chordata, Mammalia, Carnivora, Felidae. The transcript is spliced from 3 exons. The record is from RefSeq and is a predicted model, not a curated record.
CACACACUCUCUCUCUCUCUCUCUCUCUCAAACUAAAUAAAUAAGUCAAUUUUUUCCAGUUUAAAAAAAUAACAAAAUACAACCAUUGUAACAAUAUAAUGAAAGUUACGUGAACGUGGUCUGUCUCUCAAAAUGUCUCGUGCUGCACUCACCCUUCUUCUUCCUCCUGUGAUGCUGUGAGCUGACAAAAUGCCUGUGUCAAUGAUGAGAUAAAGUGAGGCGGGAGACGCAGGCCUUGUGACUUGGCGUCAGGCUACUAUUGACCUGAUGGUGCUCCCGGAGGAUCAUCUGCUUCCGGACCCUGGUUGACCUCGGGUAACCGAAGUCUGUGGGUAAGGGGAGACGACGGUAUAGGCCUGGCGCUCAAGGAGAACGUUCGGGAAAGAAGCUGUAGCUAGAAAGGUAGGCGUGAUGAUCGUUUUUGUCGGUCGUGUCUCAGAACUAUCCCCUCAACUUCUCACUUUACGUCGCGGCCUGUAGCCCGUAGUAACUCUGCUUUCUGUAAUGCACAGUGCACUUGCGACCUUGGUCCGUCCUCAAUUUGGUGAACGUUCCGUGCGUCCCUGAAAACAGUGAAUUCGCUUUUUGAGUCUAAUGUGUAUCAACAAUACCUUUUUAUCUACCGAUAGCUGCCCUUUAAUUUGGCUUACUUAUGUUCAAGGCUGAAAGACACAAUAAGGUCUUUUUUUUCUAUUGCACUUCUAUUCGAGUACCCAUAUGGUCUAUCUGGUGUUGAUUCCUCCUUCUGGAUUCGAUGUAAUUGAUCACAUAUACUGGUUUAUGGUCUGCCUUCCCUGUACUCGAACCUCUUACCAAUGUAAGGACUCCAGAUGCGUUGACUGCUCUUUGCCUGUAAUUCUACCUGGCGGGGAUCAGGAUCGUCACCGCGGCCCACUUUUUGUUUAUUUGCGGAUCACCGCCUGCCCAGUCCUUUAUUUGUAAUGUUUAAAGCAAAUGACAAGUUUUCUUUCAGGAUUUAACGUAUGAUGAAGGUGAUGUUUUGCAACUAGUCGGGAAAGGAUGGAUUGUUCAGCAAAUGAUGUGGGCACCACUGUUUUCCCAUGAGGAAAAAAGAUGAUUAAAUGUUAAAAAACAAGAAAGAACCGCAAAUCUACUGGAAGAGACAUGGGCGUGUUUAUAGCAGCUCACCCCUGCUCAGUGGCCCUGGCCUUGAAAGCACACGUCCCUCCGCCCCCCGCUCGUCGUCCUUCUGGUCUGGGCUCAAGCGACACUUCCUCGGGCGGGUGGCUCAUCCUCCUCUGCACCGGGCAAAGGUCACCUGGCGUAUCUCAUGCCUACCUCGCCUUUGCCACAUUUUGGACAUUUGUAAGUUACCCAAGUAUUUGGAGGGUUUUUGUUUGUUUUGAGAGACAGAGAGUGCACGU